CACAGAAAUCACCGACUUCAACAAGCAGAAAUUGCAAACGCCAAGCGGAACAUACUGCUUCCCUCCAACCAAAGGGUUUUUCAAAUCCGACGAAGGUGCGGUGCUAUGUGAAUGCAACCAUCCAGUGCCUUAUCGCAAGUGGGAUUGGGGAGUACAUGUGUGCCCAGAACUUCCCAAAUGACAGCUUCUUACAGUGGCUGGGAAAUUUCAUCAGAUCCCAUAGUCAGCUUGUUCGGUCUGAAGUGGUAGAUACGACAGAGCUGAUUGCUCAAGUCAGAAGCCAGUUUAGCCAGCUACGCUGUCCAACUCAGCAGGACGCAGCUGAGUUCUUUGAGCUUUUGAUGAAUAAGAUGCCAGCUGCAGGGCCUUGGACAGCUGAAUUUUCUGUAGAGACAACAUGCCAUGACUGCACCAUUGUCAGCAAAAAAGAGGAGAAGAAGCCAUACAUUCAUGUGCCAACAAACAUCAGUGAGGACAAUGAGUUGGCUAUAAGUGAGCUCUUGCAUUUACACAUGGUGUCAGGACAUUGUGACUGGAUGGACCU
Long non-coding RNA from Branchiostoma floridae (Florida lancelet), 544 nucleotides. RefSeq lists it as uncharacterized. The record is from RefSeq and is a predicted model, not a curated record. Lineage: Eukaryota; Metazoa; Chordata; Leptocardii; Amphioxiformes; Branchiostomatidae. The transcript is spliced from 3 exons.